Non-coding RNA from Schizosaccharomyces pombe (fission yeast), 885 nucleotides. Lineage: Eukaryota; Fungi; Ascomycota; Schizosaccharomycetes; Schizosaccharomycetales; Schizosaccharomycetaceae. The record is from the annotation of a GenBank genome assembly.
CACAAUUGGAAACAGACUUGCAAAACGUUAUAAAACCCUCCACUUAUUAAACCACGGUAAAAUCCUACAGAUUCCAAUACACGACAUCCGACUUAUAUUGCCAAAAAUUUUUUUAAAUUAAAUUUAUAAUUACAUACCUUUUGGAGAGGAAACUUUGCAGCCAAAUCUGCAGAGAAUUUAUGAGGAUAAGUCUCAACAAGAUCAACUUGGAGAUCAAGGAGUUUAGCCAACUCCAAAAGGCAAACAGUUCUCGUAUUAGUUUUGAAAGAAUAUAAUGUGCCCAAAAACAUGAUGAUAUAUUUCGAAAAUGAAUUGAGGUUGGUUUGUGGAGAGUGAGUCGCUGGCCUGAAAACACAUAUAGCAACAAUAUAAAUGAGAUGAAAGAAGAGAAUUCUAGGUUUGUAAAAAAUGGACUUUUUACAACAAUAAAUUAACAUCUACAGAAAAAUAAAUCAAUUAGGGGUUCAAAUGUAAAAAUUACGAGAACGAGCUUUGUACAAUGGAAAAAGGCAAUUGGUAAGCAUAACGACCUAUACUUUUUCUCAAGUAAAUUAAUUCUCUAUCUUUCGCAUUGAUUGAACAAAAUAAAGAUCAUUACUGGUAUUGCAAGCAAUAUACUGCUAGCUUCCAUCAAUAGCUUAGGUACAUUAAUGUUUUUUGGGUCAUGGGACAGGUGUUUGUAGUGAGUUCAGUUAAGGUCUCAAAAAAAGGAGAAAUUAAACGAAAUUAAAAGGUUUCCUCCUCUAAGGCUUAAAUGAACACUCAUCCGCAUUGCUCAUAUAAAAAAGUGAAAGUAAAGAACCAUCAGCUGGACAAAAUAUGAAAUGAGUCAAAUGAGUGAAAUAGAUAGUUAAUUAAUUCCCCGAAAACACAUUUAACUAUAUC